ACCCCCGCACCGAGCGCAAAAAACUCGGGCGGGCCGCGGGCGAUUGCGACCCCGCGGAACGCGCCGCCGCCGCGAAUGAUUGGGAAGGGGGAAGGGGCCGGGGCGCGUGAGCGGCGCGUACGGGGGAGCCGAACGCGAUGCGUGGCGGGCGAGCGGUAGAUGAUGACAACCGCAAGCGGGCCGCGACAAGAUCCACGAUCCUAGGAGGCGCCGUUGGCAGCUGUUAUUUUGAACCCGAGAAGUUUCAAACUCGACAUUUAUUGAGGUUGCUUUCAACCCGAGAAGUUUCAAACUCGACACUUAUUGAGGGGCAAUUCAAUUUGUUUAUAGUGGGAGGAAGCUUGUUUUGCGGUGAUUUACUGGGAUAGUGCUGUUCAAAGUUGGGUACCUACUAUCCUGCAACCAGAGCUGUAACACCCUAAAUCACAAUUGCAUUCAGAUACAGUACAUAUAAGCAAGGAUGAAUGCAGACUGAUUGUCUCAGGCUCCGAACUGUAAAUAUGCUCAUUUCUGAAUUGAAUGCAUACUGCUAUCCUGCAUAUUUUCUGCCAUUAGCUAUUCUUACAGGGAUAAUAUGGUCCUCCUUUUUUUAAAAAAAAUGUACGGUCCUGCCUCCUGCCCCAUAUCUUGCACAGUUAGUCCAAGCGGCAUUGAUUGCCAGUCUUGUUUAUCUAUUCUUAAGUAAUUGCAAUUAUUUACCAAUUAUUUUUCUUAGGAAAGCAGUGGCAUAUUGAUGAGUUAUCAGUCUCCAUAGACAUAUCUGCUCCAUUUACCUUCUGCGUACUCCAUAUAUGGACUGUUCUUCCUCUUAAAUGGCUUCUUUUUCCAUAGCCUAUUCGUGUCAGACUACAGGGAGUAGAGUUUUGUUCUGAUAGCUUUUCACAUCCUGUUCAUGUCAGACAAGGUGAUAAUUCCCUUAUGCUAGUGGAACCUCCCAUAGUCCCAUAAUAAGGAGGAUUGGAGAAAUGAGCUGUGCGGUAAUUAAGCUGCUCAUCAUUUUUAAUUGGCCUACUGUGCCAGAAUGCCAGCCACCACUCCCUGUUAUACAUGUGGUGUUACACUUAAAGAAGAGAGGAGCAGAAUCAUGUGAAGGACAUGUGAGGCUUGGAUUCUUAGAUGAAUGGCACGAUCAUUGUGCCUGCUCUUGCAUAUCAUACAACAGAUUGCCAUAAUUCGAGGACGCCAAGGGCCACAACAAUUUUGGCAUAGGCUUACUGCUCCAAGUUAAUCGAACUAAACAGAAAGCAAACAAGCUACUUGAUGAGGAUUAGAGUAGCACAAUGGUCAUGGAUCUUAGGUCAUGUACCGGGACCUGUAAUGGUGCACUAGUUAACUAUGUAGAUUUGGGGUCUUCGAGGUAAGUAUAUGAGCUGGAAUCCAUUGGGUGGGGGGUGCAUUCCAAGCAUGUAAUACUCAUCAUAUCUUUAGAGUUGUGAGAAGGUUUGGUUGGUGUGUGAGUGUCCCUGUGAUUUGAUUUCUGUGGUGGUAGUGGAAUUAGGGAGAGCUUGGGGGUUGUUUGUCUUUGUUAAACUACAGCGUUCCACACCCCCGAUCACAGCUGUGCAGGCAUUGGUCGGACAGCUGUCGGAAGUACAGUUUGUUAACAGACGGAAAAGCUUUCUGGAGGAUCUGCUGUGCCAUGUGACGGUAGACCCUCUGGAUCCUGUCAUUUGGUCUGUGCCGGAAGUAUAAAUAAUAUGACAUGAAGACUGAAGAUCUUUUUUGGGAAGCUCCCCAAGCAUGAAGCAUCUUUCCUGGAGAUUCACAAAGCUGACUAGCUAGCAGCAGAGAUCUGGAGAUUAUUGGUGAGGUGUACAAGCAGCUGUGGGUUGCACCUAGUAGGGGAACCGGAUUGCACAAAUUAACAAACAAGAGGGACUACAGUAGAGAAAGCACAAGAGAUGAUUCCCUGCAUUUCUGAAAGGAAAAAUGUGGGUAGCAACUUGUGGGGAAGAAUGUGCUAAGGUGUUGGAUGUCGUGCAGCCAUGAGUUUUCUGAUUGCCCAAUUGAACCGGAGCUUGGGAAGAAGCGAAAGGCAUUUGAUGAGGCAACUCUCCCCCAGGUGGCGAGGAGAGCCUGCGCUCCACCUGGCCAGUGCACUGGCUGCUCUGUCAAUGCCUUUGCCUUUUUUCACGAAUGAGGUAAAAAGGAGCCCUGCGCCUGAAACUUUGAUGCUGGCAAGGCAACUAUGCGCACCGGUAUCAUGCUACCACUUACACCCUGUGAAACCUGUGAAUCUGUGAUUCAGGAACAGUCCGUUGGAGUAUAUGUAAAUGCUGCUGCACAAAUACAGCACACCGUGCAGUACCUUUUGUUUCCCUAGGGAUCAAUGAUUGGAGUCGUAGGCAUAUGGCAGGUACUUUAGGGUUUGAUUACCCCUGGACGGCGGCCUGUUUGUGCUAGAUGGUUUCCGCAGCUUGUGUUGUGCCCGGUGGCCCUGAUUCUUUAUUACCAACUCAAGAAGCAGCAUCAGAGUCCAGCAAAUCACAGCCGUAUCAGUCUACUAGCAGCAGCAUUGCAGCCAUCAGUCAGUAUACUCUAAUUCUGGAGGUGCAAGACAUUCCACUGUGCAAGGCGUAACCAUGCCUGUAUGGAAACUGGCAAUUGUUUAAUCCCCGCAGAAGCCGGUAAGCAGAUCCCAAGAGCAAGCCCCCCGCCUGCCUGUCGCAAGUACUCCUCGCUCACUCACUGCUGAGUGCUGGCUGCUCCCCCACAACCCGGUGGAGUCAGGCCAAUCCAGCGGCGUUUGCAGGUGGCCAUUCCACGCUCUCGAUGCAGCGCAGCGCUGCUAUGCCCGGCCAGCGCAGUCUGACAGUGGAGAUGAACAGUCGCAGGGCCGAGCGCCACCACCACCACCACCGCGACAGGGCCGGCCCCGCGCCCACUCCUCGCCGCGGUCGGUCCGAUGCGGCAGCGCCUUUAUGGGGAGGAGGCGAGGCUCAUCGGCCGCUACAGUUCUGGUCCUCUGGUCGGGCAGCGGCCGGUGGCAGCUUGGCUGGCCGGCCGGCCGGCGGGGGCAGCGUACUGGACAUGCCUGGGGCGGCUGGGCUGGGCGCCAACACAUUGAUGCCUCGCUCGCAGGGAGGUGGCAUUGGCAAUGAAUUGAAUUGGAGCUGAUGAUGGAUGCAUGGCCAGAUGGUGGCGCUGGCAGAUCAGACCAGAGCAGGUGCUGAUGAUUCGCGUCGUACGCCGCCGCUGCGAUCGCCGAUCGGCCUGGUUAGGGCAAUCCCACCCCGCC
This is a long non-coding RNA of Panicum virgatum (switchgrass), 3238 nucleotides long. RefSeq lists it as uncharacterized. The record is from RefSeq and is a predicted model, not a curated record. The transcript is spliced from 7 exons. Lineage: Eukaryota; Viridiplantae; Streptophyta; Magnoliopsida; Poales; Poaceae.